CCUUUCUUCUAUUUAUCAAGCAAGAGUGAAAAGCAAGAUAAACAUCAUAACUCUGAAUCUAUAAUCUUCUUAACAUGAAGGAGAAAUCAAAAGAUGUCACUAUACACUUCAAAAUACAAUGGUCUCCCUCAAUGCCUCUAAGUUCUCAAACUAUAUGACCCAGCUCAAAAUUAAAAUUAGAGAUUCUUUUGCUACGGGAGCAGAGCAUUGUUCCCACUCAUUUGGUAAGUUGGUAAGUUUUAGGAUGGAAUGUUCUUAAGAAGCCCUACAUUCUGAAAAAGAUUGAGAUACUGUAUAUAUUUCUCAACAGUGACUCCAAUGGAUAAAGUUUUCAUUACUGCUGAUUUUUUCAAAGUCCCCAAAGACAUGCUCAUUUAUGUCUUUAAAUGGUGCUUUUAAAAUAUGAUGAACUGGAUUGUGAGACACACAAAUGUAGGCGAAGUAAAAAUUAGUCCAUAAGGUGCCAUAAGAUAGCUGUUUUUUGCCAAGACAGUAAAGAGCAAUCUCUUUAAUCUUGUAGAUUUGGUUGAUUGAGUUGGGUUAAAAAGAAAAAAGAAACAAGUGCUUCUGUGUAAGAUAUCUUACACAUAAAUCUAAUUCUUUGGAGGUUGGAUGAGAAAAAGCCAGUAGUUAACGUGAUGAACAAUGCCUUCGGGGUUCAUUGAGUGGCCAGCGGACUUCGCAAAGCUGUGAGGAUAAAAUGAGGAGAACUUUAUUACUACUAUGAAUUGCAAGGGUACAAGUGAGACAUGAAUGUGACCGUCAAGUUUAUUUGGGCAGGCAGGAAUUUGAUGGUGAAAUGGCAUAUAAAUGUUAAUUACAAGAGAGAAGAGGAAAAUUAUUACGCCAACAGAGGAAAGGAUAUGGAUAAUGCCAUCUAGUAUUAAAAAACUGCAGUUAAAUCUACAAUAAAGGAGCUUUUACUGACUGAUUGAGACAGACCUCCUGGAUGUUCGAUUGUUAACCUGACCCUUCAGGGAAAGAAGAUAAUCAAGACUGAGUUGCUGCUUUUCUUCCCUUUUUAAUCAAGUGUCUGCCACAACAAAAGACAUUAUGGAAGAGGAACAAGUUCUACCUGAUAAGAUUGAGACUGAAUUGAAAGUAGAUUUUAAAGUGACAGAUUACAAGAAUGAUAUGGAAAAAUAUACACUACUAGAUACACAGAAGAAACUGGCUGAUGUCUUAAUAAUUUAAAAAACCAACAGGGUAAACUGAAUAAUUUUCCUAUAAUGGAUUUAUGAAAGAAGCUUUUUAAACCUUUGAAGAAUUUUGUGAGAAGGGAAAAAGAAAAAAAGAAGAAGAAAAAGCCCCAGGUUCUAUGACAUUAUUUGAAGGAUCUAAAUAUUAAGUUUGUUAGAAGUAAAAGGAAGGAAUAUAAAGUUUAUUUAUUUGAUCAAGGAUAAAAUAGAUAUAUUAUCUCUAGCUAUACUUAAAGGAUUUUUGCUGAAACAGGACUGAAAUUAUAAGGUCAUGGAUUUGUUUGUAGAUAAAGGAGAAAUCAUUUUAAAUGAAAUUGAUGGGUUAUUAAAAUUGUUUACAUUUGUGAUGAGAGUGGGAAGUCACUUCUAUUUUUUAUUAUUUUUUCCCUUUCUACAUCUCUUUCUAUUUUUCCCUUUUCUUUCAUUUCUGCACUUUUUCUUUUUUUUUUUUUUUAGUUUGUUAGUUUUUAUUGUUGGGAUUAUAAUUCUUAAUGAAAUUGCUAUUUAAAAAUAGAGAUCCUUAGAAUGACAAAUUUGUAAUGUCAUUGGACUUUACAUCUUCAAUUCAUAUCCGUCAUAUCUUCAAUUCUUCACCAAAGAAAACAAGCUUAAGAACUUAAAGAAUUUAAAAUAUAUAGGAAAAAAACUAAUAUUUGGAUAUAAAAAACUUAGAAACAAAUUAAGUAUACAGAUAAAUUUGGAAUUUUGACUUUUAUUAUAAGAUUUUGAAAUUACUGCAACUAUAAAAAAUAAAUAGCUUCUUAUGGUAAACAAA
This is a non-coding RNA of Pantherophis guttatus, 1974 nucleotides long. The record is from RefSeq and is a predicted model, not a curated record. NCBI's taxonomy places the organism in Eukaryota, Metazoa, Chordata, Lepidosauria, Squamata, Colubridae.